Molecule: non-coding RNA, 1814 nt
Organism: Adineta vaga
Lineage: Eukaryota; Metazoa; Rotifera; Eurotatoria; Adinetida; Adinetidae
Source: Rfam
UUUCCGAUUGAUCUUGUCGGUGGCUUUCCUUUGUCUUGAAGAUUAAGCCAUGCAUGUCUAAGUAUGAACUGGUUUAAGGUGAAACUGCGUACGGCUCAUUACAUCAGCUAUAACUUUCUUUGAUCAUAAAUUCUAAAUGGAAUAACCGAGGAAAAGCCUGGGCUAAUACAUGCGACAAUUCCGGUAGUAAUAUCGGAAUGCUUUUAUUAGAUCAAAACCUUCUAGUUCUUUAACCGGAACUGUUUGUUGGUGACUCUAAAUAACUUUGUGUUGAUCGUAUGACCUUUGUGUCGACGACAUAUCUUUCAAGUGUCUGACUUAUCAACUUUAGACGGUACAUUAUAUGUCUACCGUGGUUGUAACGAGUACAGAGAAUCAGGGUUUGGUUCUGGAGAGGCCGCCUGAGAAACGGCGACCACUUCCAAGGAAGGCAGCAGGCGCGCAAAUUACCCACUCUCAAAACGAGGAGGUAGUGAAGAGAAAUAACGAUGUUAGUCUUAUUUAGGCUGACAAUCGGAAUGGGAACACUGUAAACAGGUUAUCGAUUAACAAUUGGAGGGCAAGUCUGGUGCCAGCAGCCGCGGUAAUUCCAGCUCCAAUAAGGAAAACUAAAGUUGCUGUGUUUAAAAAGCUCGUAGUUGAAUUUCGGGUAUUUGUUGCUAGCUGGUCUAACUGGCCAUGUUGGUUAACAGAUCCUCAUUUGCUGGACGGCUGGCGAUGAUCUUUAUCGAUUGUCGUCAGUUGCCAGAACGUUUACUUUGAGAAAAUUAGAGUGCUAAAAGCAGGCUUUCGCCUAUAUAUAUUGCAUGGAAUAAUGAAAUAAGAUCUCGAUUUUAUUUCGUUGGUUUUAGAAAUUGAGAUAAUGAUUAAUAGGAUCAGAGGGGGGCGUACGUACUGUGGUGUGAGAGGUGAAAUUCUUGGAUCGCCACAGGACGAACAGCAGCGAAGGCGUUCGCCAAGAAUGUUUUCAUUAAUCAAGAACGAAAGUUUGAGGUUCGAAGACGAUUAGAUACCGUCCUAGUUCAAACCAUAAACGUUGCCAACUGUCUUUUAGAUGCGGUUAUUUAUAUGACUCAUCUGGCGGAUCUCGAGAAAUCUAAGUUUUUAGGUUCCGGGGGAAGUAUGGUUGCAAAGCUGAAACUUAAAAGAAUUGACGGAAGGACACACAAGAAGUGGAGCCUGUGGCCUAAUUUGACUCAACACGGGAAACCUUACUCGGCCAGGACACUUUUAGGAUUGACAGAUUGAGAGCUCUUUCUUGAUUAGGUGGGUGGUGGUGCAUGGUCGUUCGUAGUUCGUGGAGCGAUUUGUCUGAUUAAUUUCGAUAACGAACGAGACUCCGGCUUACUAAAUAGUCUAAAGUUCGAAGGGACUUUUCAAGACUUCUUAGCAGGAUAAGUGGCACUUUUUAAGCCACACGAAAUGGAGCAAUAACAGGUCUGUGAUGCCCUUAGAUGUCCGAGGCUGCACGCGCGCUACACUGGAGAGUUCAGAAUGUUUCUUCCUACUUCGACAGAAGUGGGUAACCAUGAAAUUCUCUUCGUGACUGGGAUCGGAGCUUGCAAUUAUUCUCCGUCAACGAGGAAUUCCUAGUAAGCACUAUUUCAUCAGAAUGUGCUGAUUAUGUCCCUGUCCUUUGUACACACCGCCCGUCGCUACUACCGAUUGAAUGUUUUAGUGAGAUCUUCGGCUUGGUUUUCCGAGCGGCUCUCGGGUCGUUCGGUUUUUAUCGAAAAGAUGCUCAAACUGGAUCAUUUAGAGGAAGUAAAAGUCGUAACAAGGUAUUCGUAGGUGAACCUGCGUAUGGAUCAUUA